UUGAUUCUAUGGGUGGUGGGGCAUGGCCGUUCUUAGUUGGUGGGUUGCCUUGUCAGGUUGAUUCCGGUAACGAACGAGACCUCAGCCUGCUAAAUAGUCACUGUCGUUUCCGGCGGCUGGCCGACUUCUUAGAGGGACUAUUGGCGUUUAGCCAAUGGAAGUAUGAGGCAAUAACAGGUCUGUGAUGCCCUUAGAUGUUCUGGGCCGCACGCGCGCUACACUGACGCGUUCAACGAGCCUAUCCUUGACCGAGAGGUCCGGGUAAUCUUUGAAAACGCGUCGUGAUGGGGAUAGAUCAUUGCAAUUAUUGGUCUUCAACGAGGAAUGCCUAGUAAGCGCGAGUCAUCAGCUCGCGUUGAUUACGUCCCUGCCCUUUGUACACACCGCCCGUCGCUCCUACCGAUUGGGUGUGCUGGUGAAGUGUUCGGAUGGCGAGAGGCAUGCACACUUCUCCUGCCGAAAGUUCAUUAACCCCCCCUUGAGAAGGAAAAUUUUCCCCC
RNAcentral lists this ribosomal RNA (500 nucleotides) under uncultured Chlorophyta. RNAcentral's name for it is "SSU rRNA". It matches the Rfam family "Eukaryotic small subunit ribosomal RNA", at positions 1262 to 1790 of the family's 1831-position model. Lineage: Eukaryota; Viridiplantae; Chlorophyta. The record is from RNAcentral.